UCGUCGUGACAUCUCUACUCGGCCACCGCCUCUCUCAGACUUUUAGCUCUCUACCUCUUUCUCUCUUGAACUCUCCCUCUCUCUAUUCGACUUUGACCUCUCUCCCUCUCUCAGUCUCCCUACCCAAAUCGCCAUUAUCCCUCUGCUCUGCAACUGCCUCUGUGCCUCCAUUCUCUGCAUCGUCUAGCAGUAUCCGUUCCGAUUUUUGGAGCCCCAAAGUUUUUCGAUAUCAUACUCUUAGGAAUUGGUUCCUGGAGCUUUCGAAAUUUGUUUUCUUUUUCUAGAUAUUAAGUACCAGAGCUCAUAAGUUAGGGUUUGAAGCUUUAGGAUCAUAAUUACUAGGGGUUUGGGGAUUAGGGUUUAUAUUCUUGUGCUUCCAGGAAUGUCAAGCUUCAUCAAUACAGUGGAUUCUAAAGAAAGAUGUUUUAAUGGGAGAAAAGAGGCAACGAAUGGCUGAAUAUGCAGAUAUAUUUGACCCAGAAAGCCAGCUUCAAUUGCAUUUCAGAACAAGGAGCCUUCCUUUUGUUCACCUCGGAUUCAUUUUUGGCUAAGACAAGGAGCUUUCCUUCUGUUCACCUUAGUUACUUCCAUCUUCCUCUUGGCCAAAAGAAAGAACUUCACUUUUGUUCACCUUGGUUUUGUUCUCUUGAAAUCUCACGACAAGGUGGAGGAUCUAAAAAUUGAGAAUGAACAAUUCAAGCAUUGAAUUCCAAUUUUGGAGGCAAAUAUUGAAGCAGUACAAAGAGAUGGAAACGAUGCCAUGAGUGAAGUGCAAGGGUGGUUCAACAGAGCACAAGAUGAAGCAAAGGAAUUAGUUUCAAGAUACUAUCAAAAGUGCUUCACCAAGUCAGGUAGACGUGUAACAAAGAAACUUGCAAAUCACCUCUCAAAUCCAUGAAAAAAAUGAAGUCAACUGGAGAGUGGAUCAAGGAUUACCAUUGGGGAUGGAGAUGUCUACAACUUCUACAUGUCAGUCAACUUUUGUUAGACUGCUUGAGUAAUGAUAAAUUGGGUGCGAUUGGCAUUCAUGGCAUGGGCCGUAUCGGGAAGACAACUAUCAUGCAUAAGAUCAACAACGACUUCUUAGAAACUCGAGAGUUCAAAGAUCUCAGCAUGAUAAGAUUUUAAAAAAAAACUCAUUUCACCUAAACUCGGCUGCUUGGAUAUCUCUUCAAAUCCCACGAGAAGGUGGAGGAUGGAAAAGCCUUUAAGAAGGGCAAAUCCUACUAAAAAGUGGAAGAUACGAGAAGGUGGAAGAUGGCAACGCUAAAAUACGAGAAAGUGGAAGAUGGCAACGUUAAGAUACGAGUAGGUGGAAGAUGGCAACGUUAUAAUAUGAGAAGGUGGAAGAUGACAACGCUUUAUGAGUGAAGCGCAAGGGUGGUUCAAAAGUUAAGGUUUGGUUCAAAAGAUUUGGAAAACCUGAACAAGUAUUGUUUUGGAGGGCUUUGUUGAAAUUGCUUCUCCAAUUAAGUAAGUAAGGUAGGUCGGGUAGACAUGCAACAAAGAAACUAUUACAAAUCACUUUUGAAAUCAAUGAAGAAAAUAAGUCGGGUAGGUCGGUUAGACAUGCAACAAAUAAACUAUUACAAAUCACGUCUGAAAUCAAUGAAGAAAAUGACAAAUCACCUCUGAAAUCAAUGAAGAAAAUGAUGUCAGUGGGAGCAUAGAUCAAGAUCUCCCUUGGGGAUGAAGAUGUCUACAACUUCCACAUCAAGUCUCUCAACUUUGGAGAGAAAUCAUCCUCAUUGGGGAUGGAGAUGCCUACAACUUCCACAACACGUCUAUCAACUUUUGAUAGAAAUCAUCCUAAGAAAAUGAUGGAUCAAGAUUGGAUCAAGAUCGCCACAACACGUGUAUCAACUUUUGAUAGAAAUCAUCCUAAGAAAAUGAUGGAUCAAGAUCGCCAUUGGGGAUGGAGAUGCCUACAACUUCCACAACAGGAAAUCAUCCUAAACUGCUUGAAUAAUGGUAAAUUGGGUGUGAUUGAAUUGGCAUAAUUGUCGAUGAUGAAGGGAAGAUUGCAGGGAGAUUGCUUACUAGUUUAAGCAAACAAAGAUUCAUGCUCAUCUUAGAUGACUAGUAGGAAAAGCUGGAUUUAAAUGCUAGAUAGCCAAACCUACAAAACAGAUUCAAGGUUGUAUUAACCACCCAUUGUUAAGAGUGUAUAAUGAGCUGGCCACUGACCAUGAAAUUAAUAACCACCCGAUUGUUAAGAUUGUACAAUAGAUGGCCACUGACCACGAAAUUAAUGUGGAGGUUUGAAUAGAGGAGGAAGCAUGGAAUUUGUUUGGUGAGAAAACAAGAAAUGUGGUAGACCUGCCCACUAUAGCAUGAGAUGUUGUCAAAUAAUGUGGAAUGAGUGGGAAGGAUAAUGUGUUUGUGGAAGGAUGCACAAAGAUCAAGGAUGCACUAAGAUCGUUGUGGCAUUCAACAAUGGAGAUAUAUGGCACGGAGCCUCGAGUAUUCUGGCCAUCGCUAUGAACAAUCAGAAGAUGGAAACAUUAGGCAAUGUUUCCUGUAUUGCUCUAUUUAGAGUACCAUGAAAUUAAAAAAGAUGAGUUGGUUGAGUAUUGGAUAGGCGAGGGGGAUCUAGACGGAGUUGAUAGUUUAGAGUGUGCUAGAAACAAAGGCACGGUCUAAGAAGUUGAUCAACUCGUGCAUGAUAGAGAGUUGCCAGAGAUGAUGGUGGGGUGAAGCUUCACAAAAUGAUCUAGGAUAUUGCUGUACACAUCGGCUCAAGACGGUGGGAGUUUUUUUGUGGAAGCAGGAUUGGGAUUGAAAGAAGCACACAUGUAUGAAGAAUGGGGAGAUGCUCGACUCAUAUCGCUAAUGAGUAGUGAUAUAGAGAGAUUUCCGAAUCAGCCAAUAUGUCAAGCCCCCACAACAUUGAUAUUCAAAGAAAACAGGAAAUUGAAUUAGUCUUCUUUGAAUGCAUGGAAGCCCUAAAUGUGCUUGAUCUCAGCGAAAGUAGUAUCCACUCGUUGCCACGAUCAUUAUCCAACUUGAAAAAUCUCCAUCACUUUUGUCUAUGUGAUUGUGCAAUGGGAAAUUCUUGUGUAAACUCUAACUCACUCUUAAGAAGAUUAUGUUGAUGUUUGCUUGGUC
Long non-coding RNA from Amborella trichopoda, 3108 nucleotides. RefSeq lists it as uncharacterized. The record is from RefSeq and is a predicted model, not a curated record. Lineage: Eukaryota; Viridiplantae; Streptophyta; Magnoliopsida; Amborellales; Amborellaceae.